This 473-nucleotide ribosomal RNA is filed under the name uncultured organism. RNAcentral's name for it is "partial 16S ribosomal RNA". It matches the Rfam family "Bacterial small subunit ribosomal RNA", at positions 335 to 800 of the family's 1533-position model. The record is from RNAcentral.
ACUCCUACGGGAGGCAGCAGUAGGGAAUCUUCCACAAUGGGUGCAAACCUGAUGGAGCAAUGCCGCGUGAGUGAAGAAGGUCUUCGGAUCGUAAAGCUCUGUUGUUAGAGAAGAACACGUGCUAGGUAACUACUAGCGCCUUGACGGUAUCUAACCAGAAAGUCACGGCUAACUACGUGCCAGCAGCCGCGGUAAUACGUAGGUGACAAGCGUUGUCCGGAUUUAUUGGGCGUAAAGGGAGCGCAGGCGGUCUGUUUAGUCUAAUGUGAAAGCCCACGGCUUAACCGUGGAACGGCAUUGGAAACUGACAGACUUGAAUGUAGAAGAGGAAAAUGGAAUUCCAAGUGUAGCGGUGGAAUGCGUAGAUAUUUGGAGGAACACCAGUGGCGAAGGCGAUUUUCUGGUCUAACAUUGACGCUGAGGCUCGAAAGCGUGGGGAGCGAACAGGAUUAGAUACCCCUGUAGUCCCAUGA